RNAcentral lists this ribosomal RNA (621 nucleotides) under uncultured bacterium. RNAcentral describes it as "bacterial SSU rRNA". It matches the Rfam family "Bacterial small subunit ribosomal RNA", at positions 338 to 951 of the family's 1533-position model. The record is from RNAcentral.
CCUACGGGAGGCAGCAGUGGGGAAUUUUGGACAAUGGGCGCAAGCCUGAUCCAGCAAUGCCGCGUGAGUGAAGAAGGCCUUCGGGUUGUAAAGCUCUUUUGUCAGGGAAGAAACGGUCUACUCUAAUACAGUGGGCUAAUGACGGUACCUGAAGAAUAAGCACCGGCUAACUACGUGCCAGCAGCCGCGGUAAUACGUAGGGUGCAAGCGUUAAUCGGAAUUACUGGGCGUAAAGCGUGCGCAGGCGGUUAUAUAAGUCAGAUGUGAAAUCCCCGGGCUCAACCUGGGAACUGCAUUUGAGACUGUAUGGCUAGAGUGUGUCAGAGGGGGGUAGAAUUCCACGUGUAGCAGUGAAAUGCGUAGAUAUGUGGAGGAAUACCGAUGGCGAAGGCAGCCCCCUGGGAUAACACUGACGCUCAUGCACGAAAGCGUGGGGAGCAAACAGGAUUAGAUACCCUGGUAGUCCACGCCCUAAACGAUGUCUACUAGUUGUCGGGACUUAAUUGUCUUGGUAACGCAGCUAACGCGUGAAGUAGACCGCCUGGGGGNGGUACGGUCGCGAGAGUAAACUACAAUAGAGUAGAGCGNGAGACGAGCGACGGACGACGACGAGGGAGGAGG